GGGGAUUUAGCUCAGUGGUAGAGCGUUUGCCUAGCAAGCGAAGGUCCUGGGUUCGGUCCCCAGCUCCG
This is a non-coding RNA of Rattus norvegicus (Norway rat), 68 nucleotides long. The record is from Rfam. Lineage: Eukaryota; Metazoa; Chordata; Mammalia; Rodentia; Muridae.